Molecule: long non-coding RNA, 286 nt
Filed under: Musa acuminata (dwarf banana)
Lineage: Eukaryota; Viridiplantae; Streptophyta; Magnoliopsida; Zingiberales; Musaceae
Description: long non-coding RNA (MACU_LNC006431)
Source: RNAcentral
CAGUUCAGUGCUACUUAAUCUGCAGAUACUUGCUGCAGUUUAUUCUUAGAAUACACUAAUGCUCUAGAGAAGCUCUCUGAGCUGAAGGUUAUGUAAGCACCCUUCUUUGUCAUUUAGAUCAGGAGGUCAGCUCCAAGCACACAUUUGAGACCACCACCAUGUUUCAGAAGGGAUGAACAUGAUCGAGAAAGUAAGUAUCAGUAAUUCUUCUUACCUCUUAGCAGAUUAGCUACAAGCUUGCAUUGUCCUUGGACCGGAGAAGCUUUGGGUGGCAUGUCUGAGGGGC